Rattus norvegicus (Norway rat) is the source of this 637-nucleotide non-coding RNA. The record is from RefSeq and is a predicted model, not a curated record. Lineage: Eukaryota; Metazoa; Chordata; Mammalia; Rodentia; Muridae.
GAGAGCAUGGGUAUGGGAACACGGCAGGAUCUUUACAAACACACUUCAGUUUUAUCAUUUGCUUUUGAGCUAUGUAUCUAAACCAAAAGGAGCCUUACUCAAGACAGAGAGCUUCCUUAGCCUUGUUUAUAACUAAACCCUCAAUCUCCCCCUCCAGGGUCUAUUAUAACAUUUACAGAGGGAGAAGCUCGCAUCCUUCCUCCAGAGGAAGACAAAUUGGUUUCCUUGUGUAUACUCAGAGUGGCAUAAGACAAACCACCAUGUCUCCGUACCUAGGCUGAAGUGAUCAGGACAGGAAUGCGAACUCAAGUACAGUGUGCACACGAAUGUUGUAUUUUAUUCCAGGAUGUGUUAAACUGACCCUAGGACAUUAUUUAUCAGAGAAGCCAGUGAUUUACCUGAAGAUUCACCGCCUUAAUCUGACAUCUCACGUUUAUUUUUAUAUAUCCAUGCCAUUGCUAUUAUUAAAACCUUCCCAAGCACACUGCCCUCUACCACUAGCACUACCCAAUCCCAAACUUCCAAAUCAAACCUGCCCCAACAACUACGCUUACCCAAACAAGUGCCCUUGCCCAAACCCCAACCCCAGUGCCCAUACCUUCCAAUGUCAUUAAAGGAAUGGUUGGUUCAUGUGCUA